This 1188-nucleotide long non-coding RNA is filed under the name Ananas comosus (pineapple). RNAcentral describes it as "long non-coding RNA (ACOM_LNC028486)". Lineage: Eukaryota; Viridiplantae; Streptophyta; Magnoliopsida; Poales; Bromeliaceae. The record is from RNAcentral.
UGUUUGUAUUUGCUCGUGUUGCGACAAAGGCGAAAAAGAUCUAGUUCGUCGGAUGCGAAAAUAUUAAAAGAGAUCAAAGAAAGAGAGAAGAAAAAUAUAGCACACAAUAUUUACGAGCAUGGUUCGGUCACCGGCUUACGUCCAUGAGCGAAGUCGGUGAAGAGAUCUUCAUUGUAAUUAAAGUGAUGUACAAAAUAUGCCUCUCUCACAAAAUUUUAAUCCCAAAAAAUACAUCCAUACUCUCUCUCAUCUGUUGCACUAAAUCAAUAGAAUAAAAGAUAUAUUUAUAAUAGUAGCAAAAUACUAAUAGGAUUAGGAAUACAAAUAUAGACUAAAAAUAUUUUAAUUAGAUUAGACAUAAUCUAAAUUUAACUUAAUGGGAUAAUUAAAAUAGAAUAGGGUUAGAAAAUCUCGUGGUUCUAAAAUUCGAGAUAUAUCUAACAAUCUCCAUCUUGGUUUGAAUUCUGUCUUCUUUACCAAAAUCCCAAUAGCUCAUGAAGUGCUACUUUACAUGUGAACAAGUUUACGGAUUUCUUGAACUCGAUCGUCUAGAAACUUAAUGAGCAAAUUCAUUCAUGGGAUUCUCUAAAGUGCCAAUCUUCUCACUCUCCAACUACGCCUUUUGUGACCUCUGUUGUAUCAGAAUGACAACUUGUCGUAGAGCGAAGCUGUUGGAGCGAUCAAAGUUCUCCAUCUCAAACUUCGUCGACGUCUUAAACACCCACAUGAACAAUUCGACUCUGAUACCGAUUUGUUAUGACAAAGGUGAAAAAAAUCUAGUUCGUCGGAUGUGAAAAUACCAAAAUAGAUCCGAGAAAUAGAGAAGAAAAAUAUAACAACAAUAUUUACGUGGUUCGGCCAUCAGCCUAUGUCCACAGACGAAGACGAAGCAGACAUCUUUAUUGUAGUCAAAAUGGUGUACAAAAUAUGUCUCUUUCACAAAACCCUAACCCCAAAAAUACACUCAUAUUCUCUUUCAUCUGCCGCACACCAAAACAAUGAAAUAAAGAGUUAUUUAUAAUAAUGGCUAAAUGCUAAUAGGAUUAGGAAUACAAAUUCACUAAGACUGGAAACAUCUCAAUUAGAUUAGAUAUAAUCUAAAUUUAACUUAAUGGGAUAAUUAAAAUAGAAUAAGGUUAAAAAAUCUUACGGUUCUAAAAUUCGAGACAUAUCUAACAGCCCUUAGGG